AGUGAACGCUGGCGGUAGGCCUAACACAUGCAAGUCGAACGGCAGCACAGUAAGAGCUUGCUCUUACGGGUGGCGAGUGGCGGACGGGUGAGGAAUACAUCGGAAUCUACUUUUUCGUGGGGGAUAACGUAGGGAAACUUACGCUAAUACCGCAUACGACCUACGGGUGAAAGCAGGGGAUCUUCGGACCUUGCGCGAUUGAAUGAGCCGAUGUCGGAUUAGCUAGUUGGCGGGGUAAAGGCCCACCAAGGCGACGAUCCGUAGCUGGUCUGAGAGGAUGAUUGGCCACACUGGAACUGAGACACGGUCCAGACUCCUACGGGAGGCAGCAGUGGGGAAUAUUGGGCAAUGGGCGCAAGCCUGAUCCAGCCAUACCGCGUGGGUGAAGAAGGCCUUCGGGUUGUAAAGCCCUUUUGUUGGGAAAGAAAAGCAGCAGGUUAAUACCCCGCUGUUCUGACGGUACCCAAAGAAUAAGCACCGGCUAACUUCGUG
This 492-nucleotide ribosomal RNA is filed under the name uncultured bacterium. RNAcentral describes it as "partial 16S ribosomal RNA". It matches the Rfam family "Bacterial small subunit ribosomal RNA", at positions 29 to 507 of the family's 1533-position model. The record is from RNAcentral.